AAAGUGUGAGAAAAUGUUGGUCGCAAGGAGAUUUUGGUCUAAAGCUUUUUGCAGUCAACUUUUAGAAAAUUGUAAUUAUAAAUACUAUACUUAACAAAAACAAAAUGGUGUUGAUAGAAUUUAUGUCACUUGGCCUCUCAAAGCGUUCUGUGUUCAGGAUAAGGAUAACACCGAUGAAAAAUAACACAAAGGAGUAAAGGAGCAAGUAAAAAAUAGUUUAUACACUUUGUUGUUGUACACGAAAAGCGCGUGUUCACGCAAAUGCAAUAUGUAAAUAUAUAUUAAAAUACAAAUGUAUGUAUAGAAAGGAAGUGUGCGCCAGCAAUAGAAUGGGUGAGGCAGUUAGUGAUCGAACUCCGGCAAGCACAAAAUUUAUUCGCACCUGCCUCUACGCUAUAUUUAAUAACGUAAUAUAUUUAAAAGAGAUUGAUUUUAUUUCAAUAAAAUGCAGAAUCAAUAAAACGGCAAUAAAUACAUAUACAGGACACAGAGAGAGGGUGAUAAAAUAUGUAAAUAUUCACUAUAUAUGUAUGUAUAUAUUAUAUGUAUAUACUGAUACAAAUUGGCGAAAAGAGGCGUCACAUUGGGACAUGCAAAUAGCUUUAUUCCGUAUAUGCGAUUGUGAGCGCACCUACAUAUGGGUGCACAUACAUAUAGUAUAUUGUAUAAUAAAUGAAUGCAUGGAUGAUUGUGGAAACAAACAAAGGCGGACAAAUCUGGCGUCUUUUCUUUUAAGCGUUGUAAUAUGCAUGCAAAUAAAUAUCCACACACACAGACAUACAAACCAAACUGCAAUAAAAGAACAACUAAUCUGUAAGGCACGUCAGAUGAAAGAAGCUACAUAUACACAUGUAGUUAUAUAGGCUACUGAUAUUCUUCCCAUAUUUGUACAAUAUAAAGUGUUUGAAAAAGAGCUAUGCAUCUACUGUAAUAAGAAGUUAAUUAAUGUUUGUAAGUAUAUAAAGUACGUAAUUGGUUUUAUCCUCUAACUGUUAAUUGAAUUAGGAAUUGGAUAUACUGCGUUGGUAAAUAUACUCACUAACGCAUACGUUAAGUUUUUGAGAAAUCACAAGAAUUAAUGUCAAUAUUUCUUCCUAAGCAUGAUAUUUAUUGCUUUGAACUGUUACAAUAAUUUUUACGUUAUUCCAAUAUGGCCUUUAUAUAUACACACAUAUCUAUGAUAAUGCGAGUAUAUUUUAAUAUAUGGGUUUUUAUGUUUGAAAUUUUUUGUUAUAAAUCCAAAAGAUUUUGGGUAUAUAGUGACAGAUGUAUGUAUAGUAUAUAGCUUAAACACUUCUAAUAUAAAUUUGUAUAUAUUUAUAAUCGUAUGGAACUGAAUCUCAGUCCAACAAGUUAACAAAAUAACACUACACAAUCGCUCUAAUAAUAUUCGGUUUAUUCAUAUAAUUCUUUUAUUUUAAUAUUACUAUUUUUCUAGUUUACUUUAUAAAGUAAGCGAAUCUUCGGGCUGUGCCAUAUUGCCAUUUUACUCAUGUCCCCAUCGAAAUAUUUCUAUGUUAAUAUACUUUUCUAAAGAAUUAUGUAUCAAUCCGAAUAAUUAAAUAGUUGGUCUCCAACAUUCUCUGGAUAAAAAAGAAUGGAAGUCACUACUAUUGCAGGUGUAAGUGUAUGUGAGUUAAUAAAUUUUUACGUACUAUUUAACAAUUUGUGCUAUCAUUUGAUCUUUUCAUAUAUAUGUAUAUAAAUAUAUACAUAUGUAUGUGUUUCUGACUUUAAGUAAUUCUAAAUAUGUUUCCGCAUUCAUGAUCUCAUGAAGAUCGUUAUUAAAUAAAUGCAUGUUUUAACUGUUUUCUUUAAGCAAACUUUCUUUAAUUUUAUUAAUUCUUUUUUCGUUACUUUAUAUAAGAAAUCUUUAGUUAACGAAUAUUGGAAGAAAUACUACAAAAAUAAUGAUGAGAAAGUCAGAAAAAAAGGUUUAAAAAGGUGCAAUUUGUAAAACUUGUAAAUUCACUUAAGGUAAAUACAUAACCUGCAAUGCCAACUUAUUAAGAAUGGAUGAAUAUGCAUUUAUUUUAUAUCACGAAAACAAACAAAUAAUGUUAAAUGCUUUAAAUAAGGAGAAAAUAAGUCAAUGUAAGUUGUAAAUUUUUAUUAGAAUGUAUAACACUUAAUUUUAAAUUAAAACUAAAUUUUAUAAAAAAAGGAGCUAUUUUAAUACAUUCUUAAUAUAUUUUACAUUAAUUUACAAAUACAUAGUUACUUAAUUUAAAUAAUUUACAAGUGAACCCCCGAGAAACAACGAAAUUCAUUUUCUAGUUCCAUAAAAUCUUGUUUCCAAUCCAAUUCACACAAUAAAAUGAGGAAAACUUUGUCAGUAUUCCUACACUCAUUCUAGUCUUAAAUACCUGUAAAAAGUACGGUAAACGGUUUUUGAUAUUUCUAUAAGUCAAUUCCAUGAAUAUUCGCGCCAAUAUCAAACUAAUGUAUAGAUAAAGUGUGCAAAAGCAUAAUAAUUUUUCUAUUAGAUCAACCAUACAGAAUUAUAAUAGAAUUUGUAAUAGCUCAAUUCUUUCUUUCUGCAUAGGCAUAGUGUUUAAAAUAUAAAAAAAAUUCGGAUUCAAAUUAUAUUUAUGUACAUGUGUUUUAACAACUAGUGAUCAACCGAAUUAAAUAUCUCAAAAUAGUGACUAGCAAGGUUGGAAAAAGAAACUAAUAGACAAAGGUCAUCAAGCUAAAUGAUAUACAUAUUUAUAACAUGGUCAGAUUUAAAUAGAGUCAGCCGAGACAUAAUCCUCCCAUACCACUAAACUUCAGAUAAGUAUGGCACUCUAGGCGUUAGUUCUUGGUUUGUAUCUCCCAUUCUUGCCACAUGGCUAUAAGAUGAUUUCUGUGGAUCGUCGCUCCUGACCAAAUAGUAUAGGGUCACAGUUGAAUGCUUCUGUAGCAGCAGGUGAAAAUUUGGAAGUACGUUUCACACGACCGCUACUGGGUGCCGACGCGGUAGUGACCACAGAAGCACCGUUACUGCCACAAAUGGCCGUGACAGUUGUGACAGCGUUAAGCGAUUGCAGUGAUAUCUGCUGUGAUGUGCCUGAAGCUGUGGAAAUACUAGCUGCACUGUUCAUAGGUGGGUAUUUGAUGAUUGUUGUAAUUGAUGGGGUCAAUGUGGCCGUGGAACUAUCAUUGCUCCCAUGUCGUGUACCCUUUUGGUGUUGUUCCGACACUGUAAAAUAAUAAAAAAAAAGUUAUAGUGACCCCAAUUAAGAGCGCAUAGGAGCAUUUGUACUCACCUUGUGUUUCUGUUAGUCGCGCUGUUGCAGGUUCGUGAAGAACGGCCGUUUUUCUUAUAGUCUGCUGAAGUAGCGAGUUCACGUCGAUCGCUGGCCACGCGACCAGCGAAACACUUCGUCAUAAGUAGCAGUCCAUGGCAGAAGCAGGGUUUUUAUGGCGAUGAUGUUUGGUGUAGUGUUUGCAUGGCUUUUUACCAAGUUCCCCGGCAUCGACCGAUUUAUCCGCUGUAAUUUCGCUAGGUGUCUUCAAUGGUCUAUGAGUGGGCGUAUCUGUGGGAGAAAAAUGGCUUUGCUGAUUGUUGGAGGAGAGUGAGAAAUACUCUGCCGAUUGGCUCGGAGAGGAACAAAUGUCCUCGGCAAAUGUGUUGGUCAAACUUCGUAGUGUCACAUCGGCUUCUUCCGCACCAGGCGUUGACACAGCUGAUGAGGCAUUUGUUAACGGUGUUAGUGUACUUGAGUGUUCUAGCUCAAGUUCGGCAGUCGAUGUUAAAGCUGUACAGGGGUUGUCCCGCGCUGUAAGCAUCUGACCAGUCGUUGAGUCGCAGUCGUCCUCAACAACAUCCGCACAUUUACAUUCACAACAAUAACAAGUGCUCGAAUGACAGGAGCAAUAACUCGCACUGCUCCUUCUACUCGUAUGCGCAGAACUAUCCGUACCAUUGUUAUCCGGUAUGGAUCGUUGCGAAUGUUUGACCAUUUUAGCGGUCACUUUUUCAUAUUUACCACCGUCCUCCUCUUCCGCUUCAUCGCCAGUAGACGUUGUGGAUGUUUGACGGAAAUUACAGCGAUGACAUUCUGCCGACACCACUAGUUCGUGAGGUGCCAUCCGUCGUUCCUCAUCAUUGUCGUCUGCUUCCAACUCAUCGAAACUGCUGCAGCUAGUGGCAUCUGCAUUCUGGCAGGAACAAUCCGAACAAUGUGAGCAAGUGCUGCAACAUUCAUCUGCUCCACUCGCCUUGAAUUGUUUGCGCUGAAUUCGAACACAUUCGUUAUGUGCCGCGUCAAGUUUGCUAGCCUCUCUCUUCUUGAUGCAACACUGAGAGUCCUUACAGUAAGCUAUCUCUGGUGUAAUAGUGUCUUCAUGUCGGUCGGUGUUGGAUUCAGUCCAAAUUGGUAUGUUAUCACAAUCUGAAAAACAAUGUAUACAUAGUUUCAAGUUAUAAAAUAUUUUUGUACUUUCUUAACGAAGACCGAAGAAGUCCAAAUUUUUAACUGCAUUUUACCCGAAACUCAACGUUGAUAUUUUUGCUUUCCCAUUCAGUAUUUUACUUUAGAUUUAUAUAAUACUUGAUAAUAUUAGAUCUUACCUGUCUUCUUAUGUCUCACACCGGAAUUUCUAUGAGACAAUUCAUCAGUUUCUCCUGUGCUGGUCGAAUUCAUGGAAUCACAUCGAUAAUCAUGAUAUUUUCUCCUUUGUGUCUUGUCAUCCUCAUCGUUGUCGUGUAUUGGCGCCAUUAUUAUGGGCGCUAUAUUAGCCUUCGCCAUUUUAUACGCAAAAUUUGAGGUGGCAGUGCUUGUGUUGUCUUCAGUCAAUGUGGCUGCAUCGAUUUCAAUUGCAAUGUCGUGCAAGCGUUCUUGCUGAUUUCCAAGGCCAGAUUGUUGUAGAUCAUCGCUGGAGUCAAAGGAAGACUUACUGGUAUAACCUGGAAGUUGGCGGACGUGUUUAUCCCGUUGCUGAAGUUCCGAUUGUAAGUGACGAUACUGAUGAUGUCGGUGCCUAUGAUGGUGUGAAUGAUGAUGUCGAUUAUUUUUGUGUUUAUUACACCCACACGACUUUUUGCUGCUCUUCUCUCCGUCCCCACCACUGCCCGGAGAAUAAUGGUGACAAUGGUGUGUGAUGUGGCAGUGCGAUGUAAUUUCACCGGAUUUUAAAUCACCACUAAUUAGGCUGCAACAGUCGGUAGAUUUUCUGUUUCCACAACAAUUAAUUGAUGCGCUAUGACUAUGGCAAUUUAUCAAUUGGCUGCAGUUCACUAUGGAGCUUGGUGUUUGUGUGGCAUUAUGGCGCUGCCGCACCACAUCACUAUGUUGACACCGGCAUCUGCGACGUGCUCUGCCAUCAGUUUCUGUGGCCGCAACGUUAUCAAUUGGAAAAUCAGAUUUCGAACGACUUGAUGAGUUUCUUAAUAUGCCAUUGGAGUUUUUGACAAUCACUACGGCGUCUAAUGCGUAAUUCUCGUCAGUUGGGAUGACAUUGGAUAACCCCUUUAUUUUCGAAAGUGUAUUGUUAUUGUGGUGAUAUUGGAAGGCUCUGUUAUCAUGAUAUUUUUUAUAUUCGGUAUUUCCAUAGUUGUUGAAAUGUUCAUUAUCUGCAUUUGCGGUAAGCAGAUGAUCAUCUCCGCUACUCGUAGGCGAAAUAGCAAGAGAUUGGUUGUUGUCCGUGGUAUUGGUUUGAGUGUGAAUAUCAUGUGGAUUGUUUUGUGUUUGUUGUGGUUGUUCUUCGGGGGCAAACUGCUAAUCUCCGCGGCGCAUAUCACGCGCCUUCGUGUUCUUUCUAUAGAACCACACUUGCAAAAGAAUUGCAA
This is a long non-coding RNA of Zeugodacus cucurbitae (melon fly), 5776 nucleotides long. RefSeq lists it as uncharacterized. The record is from RefSeq and is a predicted model, not a curated record. The transcript is spliced from 3 exons. NCBI's taxonomy places the organism in Eukaryota, Metazoa, Arthropoda, Insecta, Diptera, Tephritidae.